RNAcentral lists this ribosomal RNA (389 nucleotides) under uncultured bacterium. Its description in RNAcentral is "bacterial SSU rRNA". It matches the Rfam family "Bacterial small subunit ribosomal RNA", at positions 28 to 417 of the family's 1533-position model. The record is from RNAcentral.
GACGAACGCUGGCGGCGUGCUUAACACAUGCAAGUCGAGCGGUAAGGCCCUUUCGGGGGUACACGAGCGGCGAACGGGUGAGUAACACGUGGGUGACCUGCCCUCAGCUCUGGGAUAAGCCUGGGAAACCGGGUCUAAUACUGGAUAUGACUCCAUGACGCAUGUUGUGGGGUGGAAAGCCUUGUGCGGCUGAGGAUGGGCCCGCGGCCUAUCAGCUUGUUGGUGGGGUGANGGCCUACCAAGGCGACGACGGGUAGCCGGCCUGAGAGGGCGACCGGCCACACUGGGACUGAGACACGGCCCAGACUCCUACGGGAGGCAGCAGUGGGGAAUCUUGCGCAAUGGGCGAAAGCCUGACGCAGCGAACGCCGCGUGAGGGAUGACGGCCU